This is an RNA transcript of Arabidopsis lyrata subsp. lyrata, 1297 nucleotides long. It is a transcript of the gene named probable protein S-acyltransferase 12, with no coding region annotated. The record is from RefSeq and is a predicted model, not a curated record. The transcript has 7 exons. NCBI's taxonomy places the organism in Eukaryota, Viridiplantae, Streptophyta, Magnoliopsida, Brassicales, Brassicaceae.
GAAGGUUACUUUAAAUAUGUACCAACAUUAGCUCCACGACGGCGAUAAAAUAACCGCCGUUGUCCUCCGAAUCAAGCAAACUCCGAUCCCUCCGAUCCCUCACCGUGGCUCCGGAUAUUUUACGGCGGUUGUUCCCGGCUCGGACUCGAAGAGCUGUCCCGAUUCUCCCUUUGACCAGGCUGGAGAUGAACCUUUUCCGGUUCUGCUCCGGUCUGAAAGUCCUCGGCUAUUUCAUGAUCCUUCUCGUUGUCGCCGUCGUUGGUGUAUCUUACUACGCCGUCGUAGUUAGCACAUGGUGGCCGAUCUUGAUCCGGAGCGACCAUGGAGCUUUAUCUGCCCUCGCUGCCUUAAUCAUCUUUGUUUUUCAUUUCCUGCUGAUAAUGUUGUUGUGGAGCUACUUCACAACUGUUUUUACGGACCCAGGUUCUGUUCCCGAAUAUUUCAGAAGAGAAAUGGGAGGUGGUGACAAUUUGGAGGCUGGUACUUCGACAGAUCAAGGAGCUUUUGGCUCUUUAGGUUAUUGUACCAAAUGCCGGAAUGUUAAGCCGCCUCGUUGCCAUCAUUGUUCUGUGUGUCAAAGAUGUGUUCUCAAGAUGGAUCAUCACUGUGUAUGGAUUGUAAACUGUGUUGGAGCACGCAAUUACAAGUUUUUCCUUCUCUUUCUGUUCUAUACUUUUCUUGAGACAAUGUUGGACGUUAUAGUCCUGCUUCCUAGCUUCAUUGAAUUCUUUAGCCAAGCUAUAAAGCAUUCUUCUUCUCCGGGUAAACUGGCCUCCCUCGUUCUGGCAUUUGAUUCUAUCCCCUUGAUGCAGUUCUUAACUUAGCGUUCGUUCUCAGCCUUCUUUGUUUCGUAGUCAUGCACCUUUCUCUUCUCUCAUCCAACACUACUUCAGUCGAGAUGCAUGAGAAAAAUGGAGAAGUCAGAUGGAAAUAUGACUUGGGAAAGAAGAAAAACUUCGAGGAGGUUUUUGGGAAGAAGAAGGCGUUUUGGCUCCUCCCAUUGUACUCUAAAGAAGAUCUCGAUAACAUGACUUCCCUUCAAGGCCUUGAAUUUCCAACUCGUUCUGACAUCGACCCUUGAUUGAAACAGAAUCAAUCAAUCAUUGUCGAAAAAGUCUUCGGACUACCCUCCAGUGUGUAGAUAACACUCUUCUCGAAGAGAAUUCUGAUAACACGUUGUUGUUGUAUUAAUGUAAUUGAUUUGAUUCAUUUCUUUACUUGUUUAAAGUCUAAGUUCGUUUGACAUCUUCAGACUGUAAUGUUAUGCGACCCAAUGAUAACUUGUUGUAUACGUAAA